This 460-nucleotide ribosomal RNA is filed under the name uncultured bacterium. Its description in RNAcentral is "partial 16S ribosomal RNA". It matches the Rfam family "Bacterial small subunit ribosomal RNA", at positions 338 to 795 of the family's 1533-position model. The record is from RNAcentral.
CCUACGGGUGGCAGCAGUGAGGAAUAUUGGUCAAUGGGCUUACGCCUGAACCAGCCAAGUCGCGUGAGGGAAGACUGCCCUAUGGGUUGUAAACCUCUUUUGUCAGGGAGCAAUUGGCGCUACGUGUAGCGUUAUCGAGAGUACCUGAAGAAAAAGCAUCGGCUAACUCCGUGCCAGAAGCCGCGGUAAUACGGAGGAUGCGAGAGUUAUCCGGAUUUAUUGGGUUUAAAGGGUGCGUAGGCGGAAUGCCAAGUCAGCGGGAAAAUCGCGGGGCUCAACCUCGCUCCGCCGUUGAAACUGGCGUUCUUGAGUGGGCGAGAAGUAUGCGGAAUGCGUGGUGUAGCGGUGAAAUGCAUAGAUAUCACGCAGAACUCCGAUUGCGAAGGCAGCAUACCGGCGCCCAACUGACGCUGAAGCACGAAAGCGUGGGUAUCGAACAGGAUUAGAUACCCCAGUAGUC